This 404-nucleotide ribosomal RNA is filed under the name uncultured bacterium. Its description in RNAcentral is "bacterial SSU rRNA". It matches the Rfam family "Bacterial small subunit ribosomal RNA", at positions 355 to 776 of the family's 1533-position model. The record is from RNAcentral.
UGGGGAAUCUUGCACAAUGGGGGAAACCCUGAUGCAGCGAUGCCGCGUGAGUGAAGAAGGCCUUUGGGUUGUAAAACUCUUUCGUCGGGGAAGAAAAUGACUGUACCCGAAUAAGAAGGUCCGGCUAACUUCGUGCCAGCAGCCGCGGUAAUACGGAGGGAUCUAGCGUUAUUCGGAAUUACUGGGCGUAAAGCGAGCGUAGGCGGAUUUGUAAGUUGGAGGUGAAAUCCCAGAGCUUAACUCUGGAACUGCCUUCAAAACUACAUUUCUUGAGUUUGGUAGAGGAGAGUGGAAUUCCUAGUGUAGAGGUGAAAUUCGUAGAUAUUAGGAGGAACACCAGUGGCGAAGGCGACUCUCUGGGCCAAUACUGACGCUGAGGUUCGAAAGCAUGGGUAGCGAACAGG